Molecule: RNA transcript, 2434 nt
Organism: Hemiscyllium ocellatum (epaulette shark)
Lineage: Eukaryota; Metazoa; Chordata; Chondrichthyes; Orectolobiformes; Hemiscylliidae
Gene: rsrp1
Gene name: arginine/serine-rich protein 1
Exons: 6
Source: RefSeq, a predicted model, not a curated record
GGCGAGCUCAGUACAAUUACCGCAGUGAUAAGAUGGUGGUCGUUAGUGAUGGUCGCGCGUGUGGUAGCUCAACCGCAUCUCCGGUUCAAACCGCCCAUUAUAAUCGGCUAAAUUCCUGUAAUCUUUCCUGGGAAACUACGGAAGAGAAAUCCAUCUAUGGUAAACCAAAUUUACAGCAAGUGUGUGAUAAUGUUCUGAAAUCAAAUGCAAAAUUGGUGCAGGUGAUGGAGAAAGACAUUGAAAUGGAUUGUGAAACAGCUGGGUGCCAUGCACAAGAACUGAAGACUGAAAGUGUAUUUGCUGCUGUGCAUGAAUUGAGACUUAAUUCUCCUUGUCAAGGAACUGACAAGAAUCAGAGAAUGUCACGUUCCAGAACACUUGCUAUCAGACGAUCUAAAGGUUCCCGAUCGAGUUCAGCAUCCUCUUCAGGCAGUUCCCGAUCUGGUUCGAUGUCAUCUUCGGGCAGCUCCCGGUCAAGUUCUGCAUGUUCUACAAGCAGCUCCCGGUCAAGUUCAAUGUCAUCGUCAGGUCGUUCCCGGUCAAUAUCAGUAUCAUCUUCGAGAAGCUCAAGUUCAGCAAGCUCCCGAUCAAGUUCAUCAUCCUCUUCCGAGAGGUAUGGUUCAAGUUCAGACAAUGCCUCUUUCUCUUCGAGAGGCAGAUACAUAUCACGCCAGAGGAGCUAUAGAAGAUCAAGGCAAAGCUGCUCAAGGUCCCGGUCUAGAAGCCGGUCACUGUCUUGUUACCGAAGAUCCAGAUGUCGAAUGUCUUACCGGUCACCACAAAGAUACAGGUCUAGAUCCAGAUGUUCUAGAUCAUAUCAAAGGCCAAGGUCCAGUUUGAGGUACAGAAGGUCCAGAUCAUGGUCUCGGUCCCCGUCCAGAUUUCGGAGAGGUUACUAUGGCUUUGCUUACAGGACGCAACCACGAUCCCGUCGAAGCAGAUCAAGGGACAGAUCUUUCCGCUUAACGCAAAAAGAUAAACAGAAGCUACUUGAAAUUGCAAAGGCAAAUGCUGAUAAAUUAUUGGGCAAGGGUAACAUCUGCUUGCCUUCUAACUUGAGGCCUGUCAACCCUCUCACUGAGACACUUUCUGAAAUGAAAAGUAACAGCGAUGCAGUAAAAGCAGUAACCAGAAAGAAGCCUUGAAAUGGACUGCACUUCUUGAAGAUAUGAGGUGGUAUCUUUGUAUCUGCGUGUGUGCAGUGUUUGGGGGCAGCUAGGCCAAUAUAAUAUAAAGGACAAUUGGCUUUCAAAUAUUCUAUAUAAAUGAAACUGGGGCAUUGUCACCGCAACAAAAUGUUAAGUGGGAAGGCUGUUUAGGGUUUUUGUGUAAUGUUAAUACAUUAGUUUUUAUGACAUUUCCUGGGACUAAGGGGUGAGCCAUUUGGCUCUGUUCCUGGGGAAUCCUACAAUUAGCUGACUGCCCACUAUUAAUAUGUGGAAGGAUAAACCAGUGUGCAUGAACUUUUACUGCUGCUGCUCCUGUUUUUUGUUUGUUGGGUCAAGGAGCUCCGUGAUCUGUCAAGCCAGAAGUAUGGUCAAAUGGGGCAACUAAGGAAAAUGUGAAUCAUUGUUUAGCAAUAUGGUCAAGAAUUUUUUAACGGAAAUAUAACGACAUAGAACAUAAAGCCCAGAAAUGGUGAUUCUCCCCUAAUAGACUGGUUGUUCACAUUUCAUGAGUCGUCUCUAGUUCUAUUUACUCCCCGUCUGCCAUUCAGCAUUCUUUUCCUUUUUUUUUCCAAGUAUUAAUCUAACUUACUUUUGGAAUCUGUUUGAGUUGACAACUUGUAAUAAAUUCCGCAUUCUCAUUCUUUCUAUUUCAUUGAAUACAUUCUUUCACAAGCAAAACCAUGCUCUUAACUGUCCAAUCCUAUCAUUGUUUUCAAAAUCUCUUGUAAAGUCAGUUUUCUUUUAAGAAAACCUUAAAUCUCCCAUCUUGUCAUUUUUGAAUACAUCUUUUAUUCUUCAAUUUGUGUCCCUUUAUUGCAUAGGAUCUAAGCAGUACAUCAUAUUAUCCCUCAUGUGGCAUCAUUUGGCUCCUAUAUAAGCUUAACAUAAUUUCAUUACUUUCAAUUGUGUACCUAUAGAAAUUGAUUUCGAUGGUUUAUUAGCAUUCGAAUUGCUUUACUGAUCUGGAGGGCUGCUUUUGAUUUGGUCACCUGUAUUUGUAGCUCUCUUUAGACCUCCUGCUAUUCAAUUUCUUAAUUUCCAAGGCGGUUUUAUUUUGCCACUUAAUUGUGCAAUUUACAAUUCUUCUGAUAUAUCUAUAUGGUAUUUAGCUUUUCCUCCGAUACCCUCCAGUUUGCAAUUAGCCAAAAUUUCAAUAGUUUCUCAAGUACAUUUCAUUUAUGAAUAAAAGUGGGCCCAUCCUUUGUGGAGGAUCACCUUUUUGUGUUGUAAUCUGAAUAAUAGUGUUCUCUUACUCUGUUUUCUAU